RNAcentral lists this long non-coding RNA (480 nucleotides) under Trifolium pratense (red clover). Its description in RNAcentral is "long non-coding RNA (TPRA_LNC011725)". Lineage: Eukaryota; Viridiplantae; Streptophyta; Magnoliopsida; Fabales; Fabaceae. The record is from RNAcentral.
AUAAAGAAAAGAUAACAGUAUCAGAAAGAAACAAAACCCAUUUCCCGUCCUCCUCCGUUCUGACCAAUACCGUUGUCUGUUCGCCGUCGUUUCUUUACCUGCAUCCUUUUGUGUUAUCCCUUUUCGUUUUCAAUUUUUCAUUUUUAUGGUUUACUGAGUAAUCCCUUUUCAUUUUUCCAUGUUGCAGGAUUUUGAUUGAUAUUGGGAUUUUUAUUCAGCUCACUAUGUCUCAUUUGUUCCCUUUACUUCCUUUUCAUCAUCUCAUGAAACUAAUUUUGGAAUUUGUUUGCAAUAAUGGUUUCCCCUCUUUUGAUUGUUCCCAACUCCAUUAUUAUUUGGAAGAAAAGAUAGUUCAAUAGAAGAAAACGAAAGCAAUAAAAAAAGAAGAAAAAGAAAGCAAUAAACUGUAGAUCUUGCCGGCGGCGCGAAGCUCGACGGAGGUGGUCGGAGUCAACGUUGGUGGUCCGGUGUGUUGGCUUG